This 517-nucleotide ribosomal RNA is filed under the name uncultured bacterium. RNAcentral's name for it is "bacterial SSU rRNA". It matches the Rfam family "Bacterial small subunit ribosomal RNA", at positions 15 to 518 of the family's 1533-position model. The record is from RNAcentral.
GAUUAUGGCUCAGGAUGAACGCUAGCUACAGGCUUAACACAUGCAAGUCGGAGGGGCAGCAUAGCGGAAGCUUGCUUCUGCUGAUGGCGACCGGCGCACGGGUGAGUAACGCGUAUCCAACCUUCCCUACAGUAGGGGAUAGCCCGGCGAAAGUCGGAUUAAUACCCUAUGUUCUUCUUCGAUGGCAUCUGACGAGAAGCAAAGGUUUACCGCUAUAGGAUGGGGAUGCGUCUGAUUAGCUUGUUGGCGGGGUAACGGCCCACCAAGGCUACGAUCAGUAGGGGUUCUGAGAGGAAGGUCCCCCACAUUGGUACUGAGACACGGACCAAACUCCUACGGGAGGCAGCAGUGAGGAAUAUUGGUCAAUGGGCGAGAGCCUGAACCAGCCAAGUAGCGUGCAAGGAUGACUGCCCUAUGGGUUGUAAACUGUCUUUUAUGCGGGAAUAAAGUCGGGCACGUGUGCCUGUUUGUAUGUACCGCAUGAAUAAGGACCGGCUAAUUCCGUGCCAGCCGCCGC